This 465-nucleotide ribosomal RNA is filed under the name uncultured bacterium. RNAcentral describes it as "partial 16S ribosomal RNA". It matches the Rfam family "Bacterial small subunit ribosomal RNA", at positions 28 to 507 of the family's 1533-position model. The record is from RNAcentral.
GACGAACGCUGGCGGCGUGCUUAACACAUGCAAGUCGAGCGAGGCCCCUCCUUCGGGAGGGUGUCCUAGCGGCGAACGGGUGAGUAACACGUGGGCAACCUGCCCUCAGCUCUGGGAUAACUCCGGGAAACCGGGGCUAAUACCGGAUACGACCUCCACGGGCAUCUGCGGAGGUGGAAAGUUUUUCGGCUGAGGAUGGGCCCGCGGCCUAUCAGCUAGUUGGUGGGGUAGUGGCCCACCAAGGCGCCGACGGGUAGCCGGCCUGAGAGGGCGACCGGCCACACUGGGACUGAGACACGGCCCAGACUCCUACGGGAGGCAGCAGUGGGGAAUAUUGCGCAAUGGGCGAAAGCCUGACGCAGCGACGCCGCGUGAGGGACGAAGGCCUUCGGGUUGUAAACCUCUUUCAGCAGGGACGAAGCGAAAGUGACGGUACCUGCAGAAGAAGCACCGGCCAACUACGUG